RNAcentral lists this ribosomal RNA (253 nucleotides) under uncultured bacterium. RNAcentral describes it as "partial 16S ribosomal RNA". It matches the Rfam family "Bacterial small subunit ribosomal RNA", at positions 524 to 776 of the family's 1533-position model. The record is from RNAcentral.
UACGUAGGGUGCAAGCGUUGUCCGGAAUUAUUGGGCGUAAAGAGCUCGUAGGCGGUUCGUCGCGUCGGCUGUGAAAUCCCGGGGCUCAACCCCGGGCCUGCAGUCGAUACGGGCAGACUAGAGUGCGGUAGGGGAGACUGGAAUUCCUGGUGUAGCGGUGAAAUGCGCAGAUAUCAGGAGGAACACCGGUGGCGAAGGCGGGUCUCUGGGCCGUAACUGACGCUGAGGAGCGAAAGCGUGGGGAGCGAACAGG